Molecule: ribosomal RNA, 209 nt
Filed under: uncultured bacterium
Lineage: Bacteria
Description: partial 16S ribosomal RNA
Rfam family: Bacterial small subunit ribosomal RNA
Source: RNAcentral
UUCGGAUUGCAGGCUGCAACUCGCCUGCAUGAAGUUGGAAUUGCUAGUAAUCGCGGAUCAGCAUGCCGCGGUGAAUACGUUCCCGGGCCUUGUACACACCGCCCGUCACACCAUGGGAGCCGGUAAUACCCGAAGUCAGUAGCCUAACCGCAAGGGGGGCGCUGCCGAAGGUAGGAUUGGCGACUGGGGUGAAGUCGUAACAAGGUACC